RNAcentral lists this ribosomal RNA (500 nucleotides) under uncultured bacterium. RNAcentral's name for it is "partial 16S ribosomal RNA". It matches the Rfam family "Bacterial small subunit ribosomal RNA", at positions 30 to 523 of the family's 1533-position model. The record is from RNAcentral.
AUUGAACGCUGGCGGAAUGCUUUACACAUGCAAGUCGAACGGCAGCACGGACUUCGGUCUGGUGGCGAGUGGCGAACGGGUGAGUAAUGUAUCGGAACGUGCCCAGUCGUGGGGGAUAACGUAGUGAAAAUUACGCUAAUACCGCAUACGAUCUAUGGAUGAAAGCGGGGGAUCGCAAGACCUCGCGCGAUUGGAGCGGCCGAUAUCAGAUUAGGUAGUUGGUGGGGUAAAGGCCCACCAAGCCAACGAUCUGUAGCUGGGCUGAGAGGACAACCAGCCACACUGGAACUGAGACACGGUCCAGACUCCUACGGGAGGCAGCCGUGGGGAAUUUUGGACAAUGGGCGAAAGCCUGAUCCAGCCAUUCCGCAUGCAGGAUGAAGGCCCUCGGGUUGUAAACUGCUUUUGUACAGAACGAAAAGGUUUCUACUAAUACUAGGAGCUCAUGACGGUACUGUAAGAAUAAGCACCGGCUAACUACGUGCCAGCAGCCGCAGUAA